GAUGAACGCUGGCGGCGUGCCUAAUACAUGCAAGUCGAGCGAACAGAUGAGGAGCUUGCUCCUCUGACGUUAGCGGCGGACGGGUGAGUAACACGUGGAUAACCUACCUAUAAGACUGGGAUAACUUCGGGAAACCGGAGCUAAUACCGGAUAAUAUAUUGAACCGCAUGGUUCAAUAGUGAAAGACGGUUUUGCUGUCACUUAUAGAUGGAUCCGCGCCGCAUUAGCUAGUUGGUAAGGUAACGGCUUACCAAGGCAACGAUGCGUAGCCGACCUGAGAGGGUGAUCGGCCACACUGGAGCUGAGACACGAUCCAGACUCCUACGGGAGGCAGCAGUAGGGAAUCUUCCGCAAUGGGCGAAAGCCUGACGGAGCAACGCCGCGUGAGUGAUGAAGGUCUUCGGAUCGUAAAACUCUGUUAUUAGGGAAGAACAAAUGUGUAAGUAACUAUGCACGUCUUGACGGUACCUAAUCAGAAAGCCACGGCUAACUACGUG
Molecule: ribosomal RNA, 497 nt
Filed under: uncultured bacterium
Lineage: Bacteria
Description: partial 16S ribosomal RNA
Rfam family: Bacterial small subunit ribosomal RNA
Source: RNAcentral